GACGAACGCUGGCGGCGUGCUUAACACAUGCAAGUCGAACGGUAAGGCCCUUCGGGGUACACGAGUGGCGAACGGGUGAGUAACACGUGGGUGAUCUGCCCUGCACUUUGGGAUAAGCCUGGGAAACUGGGUCUAAUACCGGAUAGGAUCAUGCGCUUCACGGAGUGUGGUGGAAAGCUUUUGCGGUGUGGGAUGGGCCCGCGGCCUAUCAGCUUGUUGGUGGGGUAAUGGCCUACCAAGGCGACGACGGGUAGCCGGCCUGAGAGGGUGACCGGCCACACUGGGACUGAGAUACGGCCCAGACUCCUACGGGAGGCAGCAGUGGGGAAUAUUGCACAAUGGGCGCAAGCCUGAUGCAGCGACGCCGCGUGAGGGAUGACGGCCUUCGGGUUGUAAACCUCUUUCAGUAGGGACGAAGCGCAAGUGACGGUACCUACAGAAGAAGGACCGGCCAACUACGUGCCAGCCGCCGCCGUAA
This 478-nucleotide ribosomal RNA is filed under the name uncultured bacterium. RNAcentral describes it as "partial 16S ribosomal RNA". It matches the Rfam family "Bacterial small subunit ribosomal RNA", at positions 28 to 523 of the family's 1533-position model. The record is from RNAcentral.